GUAGUUAGCCGGGGCUUCCUCCUUGGGUACCGUCACUUCCUUCGUCCCCAAGGACAGAGGUUUACAAUCCGAAAACCUUCUUCCCUCACGCGGCGUUGCUGGGUCAGGCUUUCGCCCAUUGCCCAAUAUUCCCCACUGCUGCCUCCCGUAGGAGUCUGGACCGUCUCUCAGUUCCAGUGUGGCCGUUCACCCUCUCAGGUCGGCUACCCAUCGUCGCCUUGGUGGGCCGUUACCUCACCAACUAGCUAAUGGGACGCGAACUCACCCCAAACCGGAUUGCUCCUUUUACCUCAUCCCCAUGUGAGGACGUGGUCUUAUGCGGUAUUAGCAGAUGUUUCCAUCUGUUAUCCCCCUGUCUGGGACAGAUUGUUCACGCGUUACUCACCCGUCCGCCGCUCGAACGACAACCGAAGUCAUCGUCCUCGCUCGACUUGCAUGUGUUAAGCACGCCGCCACGCGUCGUCCUCGAGCACGAAUACAACUACUGA
RNAcentral lists this ribosomal RNA (488 nucleotides) under uncultured bacterium. Its description in RNAcentral is "partial 16S ribosomal RNA". The record is from RNAcentral.